RNAcentral lists this ribosomal RNA (1496 nucleotides) under metagenome. Its description in RNAcentral is "bacterial SSU rRNA". It matches the Rfam family "Bacterial small subunit ribosomal RNA". The record is from RNAcentral.
AGAGUUUGAUCCUGGCUCAGAACGAACGCUGGCGGUGCGUUUUAAGCAUGCAAGUCGAGGGGUAGAAGAUCUUCGGAUCUAUGAGACCGGCGAACGGGUGAGUAACACGUAGAUGAUCUGCCUUGAGGUUGGGGAUAGCCCAUGGAAACAUGGAGUAAUACCGAAUAAGCUCUGGAUACUUUGGUGACCAGAGGAAAGGCCCUUCGGGGUCGCCUUAAGAUGAGUCUGCGUCUGAUUAGCUUGUUGGUGGGGUAAAGGCCUACCAAGGCGAUGAUCAGUAGCCGGCCUGAGAGGGUGAUCGGCCACACUGGGACUGAGAUACGGCCCAGACUCCUACGGGAGGCAGCAGCUAAGAAUAUUCGGCAAUGGACGAAAGUCUGACCGAGCGACACCGCGUGGGUGAAGAAGGCGGAAACGUUGUAAAGCCCUUUUAUAAAUGAGGAAUAAGUAUCGGAGGUAAUGCCGGUAUGAUGACGUUAGUUUAUGAAUAAGCCCCGGCUAAUUACGUGCCGGCAGCCGCGGUAACACGUAUGGGGCAAGCGUUGUUCGGAUUAUUGGGCGUAAAGGGCGCGCAGGCGGUGAUACAAGUCUGAUGUGCAAGACCGAGGCUUAACUUCGGGACCGCAUUGGAAACUGUAUUACUAGAGUCUAGGAGGGGAAGUUGGAAUUUCAGGUGUAGGGGUGAAAUCUGUAGAUAUCUGAAAGAACACCAGUGGCGAAGGCGAACUUCUGGCCAUAGACUGACGCUGAGGCGCGAAAGCGUGGGUAGCAAACAGGAUUAGAUACCCUGGUAGUCCACGCCGUAAACGAUGUACACUAGGUGUUGGGGUUUUAGACCUCAGCGCCGCAGCUAACGCGAUAAGUGUACCGCCUGGGGAGUAUGCCGGCAACGGUGAAACUCAAAGGAAUUGACGGGGGCCCGCACAAGCGGUGGAGCAUGUGGUUUAAUUCGACGAUACGCGAGAAACCUUACCAGGGCUUGACAUAUACCGCGAUGUUGUAGAGAUACAGCAGUCCUUCGGGAGUGGUAUACAGGUGCUGCAUGGCUGUCGUCAGCUCGUGCCGUGAGGUGUUGGGUUAAGUCCCGCAACGAGCGCAACCCCUGCCGUCUGUUACCAGCAUUUAGUUGGGGACUCUGGCGGAACUGCCGGUGACAAACCGGAGGAAGGUGGGGACGACGUCAAGUCAUCAUGGCCCUUACGUCCUGGGCUACACACGUGCUACAAUGGCAGAUACAAAGCGCAGCAAUACAGUGAUGUACGAGCGAAUCGCAAAAAGUCUGCCUCAGUUCGGAUUGGAGUCUGAAACUCGACUCCAUGAAGGUGGAAUCGCUAGUAAUCGCGCAUCAGCAUGGCGCGGUGAAUACGUUCCCGGGCCUUGUACACACCGCCCGUCACACCACCCGAGUUGAAACAACCCGAAGUCGUUAGCCUAACCUUUAUGGAAGGCGGCGCCGAAGGUGGUUUCGGUAAGGGGGGUGAAGUCGUAACAAGGUA